RNAcentral lists this long non-coding RNA (309 nucleotides) under Theobroma cacao (cacao). Its description in RNAcentral is "long non-coding RNA (TCAC_LNC003597)". The record is from RNAcentral. Lineage: Eukaryota; Viridiplantae; Streptophyta; Magnoliopsida; Malvales; Malvaceae.
CUGGGCAAUUCAACAUUUCUUCUGUAGGUUUCCGGGAACAAAAUUCUACUGCUCUUGUCCUUGUUUUGGUUUGCCUUCCGCUAUCGAACCUACAGACUUGGCUUUGAAUCGUGGAACGAAAAGCUAGUUACCUCUUCCACUACACCUAACGGUCCUAGUCUGAGAAAUACGACUCCUCUGCCUCGUUAGUUAGUAACUAGUACAGCCAAUCCGAAUACCAUUUUCUCAAUUCUAUUUUUGUUUUAGGAUGUCCAGUGAAUUAAAAUUUUUAUAUUGAUUUCUUAAUCCCCAUGGUAAAAUAUUUAAUAU